Molecule: ribosomal RNA, 253 nt
Filed under: uncultured bacterium
Lineage: Bacteria
Description: partial 16S ribosomal RNA
Rfam family: Bacterial small subunit ribosomal RNA
Source: RNAcentral
UACGUAGGGGGCUAGCGUUGUCCGGAAUCAUUGGGCGUAAAGAGCGUGUAGGCGGCCCGGUAAGUCCGCUGUGAAAGUCAAAGGCUCAACCUUUGAAUGUCAGCGGAUACUGCCGGGCUAGAGUCCGGAAGAGGCGAGUGGAACUCCUGGUGUAGCGGUGGAAUGCGCAGAUAUCAGGAAGAACACCCGUGGCGAAGGCGGUUCUCUGGGACGGUACUGACGCUGAGACGCGAAAGCGUGGGGAGCGAACAGG